RNAcentral lists this ribosomal RNA (253 nucleotides) under uncultured bacterium. RNAcentral describes it as "partial 16S ribosomal RNA". It matches the Rfam family "Bacterial small subunit ribosomal RNA", at positions 524 to 776 of the family's 1533-position model. The record is from RNAcentral.
UACGGGGGGGGCAAGCGUUGUUCGGAAUUACUGGGCGUAAAGGGCUCGUAGGUGGCCAACUAAGUCAGACGUGAAAUCCCUCGGCUUAACCGGGGAACUGCGUCUGAUACUGGAUGGCUAGAGAUUGGGAGAGGGAUGCGGAAUUCCAGGUGUAGCGGUGAAAUGCGUAGAUAUCGGAAGGAACACCAGUGGCGAAAGCGGCUUCCUGGUCCAGCACCGACGUUCAGGCACGAAAGCGUGGGGAGCAAACAGG